Small nucleolar RNA from Saccostrea echinata, 80 nucleotides. RefSeq annotates it as small nucleolar RNA SNORD35. NCBI's taxonomy places the organism in Eukaryota, Metazoa, Mollusca, Bivalvia, Ostreida, Ostreidae. The transcript has a single exon. The record is from RefSeq and is a predicted model, not a curated record.
GUGCUAUGAUGUUUACUCACGAUGGUCUUCUGAAAAUGAAAACUGAAGUCAAUGCCAGAUGGCUUUGCUGAGCACCUGUC